RNAcentral lists this ribosomal RNA (429 nucleotides) under Acidobacteriota bacterium. RNAcentral's name for it is "Acidobacteria bacterium partial 16S ribosomal RNA". It matches the Rfam family "Bacterial small subunit ribosomal RNA", at positions 355 to 776 of the family's 1533-position model. The record is from RNAcentral. Lineage: Bacteria; Pseudomonadati; Acidobacteriota.
UGGGGAAUUUUGGACAAUGGGGGAAACCCUGAUCCAGCCAUCCCGCGUGUGCGAUGAAGACCUUCGGGUUGUAAAGCACUUUUGGCAGGAAAGAAACGUCAUGGGUUAAUACCCCGUGAAACUGACGGUACCUGCAGAAUAAGCACCGGCUAACUACGUGCCAGCAGCCGCGGUAAUACGUAGGGUGCAAGCGUUAAUCGGAAUUACUGGGCGUAAAGCGUGCGCAGGCGGUUCGGAAAGAAAGAUGUGAAAUCCCAGAGCUCAACUUUGGAACUGCAUUUUUAACUACCGGGCUAGAGUGUGUCAGAGGGAGGUGGAAUUCCGCGUGUAGCAGUGAAAUGCGUAGAUAUGCGGAGGAACACCGAUGGCGAAGGCAGCCUCCUGGGAUAACACUGACGCUCAUGCACGAAAGCGUGGGGAGCAAACAGG